UCUCUCUCUCUCUCUAUCUAUCUAGCAAGCUGAGUUUGGGUUAUAGGUUGAAGAGAGUUUUCGUGUGGUUGUUGUUAAUAUGAUGGUGGUGGUAGUAGUGGUGGUGGAGGUAGUUCAGUCGGUGGAAGGGUCGUUUUAGAAGUGGGGGCACUCGCUCUUGGGUUGGUUGAGCCCUGAGUUGUGAGGAAGAGAGAGAGAAGAAUGAUAUGUACUUGUGUGGGCG
Molecule: unclassified non-coding RNA, 223 nt
Filed under: Hevea brasiliensis (rubber tree)
Lineage: Eukaryota; Viridiplantae; Streptophyta; Magnoliopsida; Malpighiales; Euphorbiaceae
Source: RNAcentral